UACGGAGGAUGCGAGCGUUAUCCGGAUUUAUUGGGUUUAAAGGGUGCGUAGGCGGACGCUUAAGUCAGCGGUAAAAUUGCGGGGCUCAACCUCGUCGAGCCGUUGAAACUGGGUGUCUUGAGUGGCGAGAAGUACGCGGAAUGCGUGGUGUAGCGGUGAAAUGCAUAGAUAUCACGCAGAACUCCGAUUGCGAAGGCAGCGUACCGGCGCCCAACUGACGCUGAAGCACGAAGGCGUGGGUAUCGAACAGG
RNAcentral lists this ribosomal RNA (251 nucleotides) under uncultured bacterium. RNAcentral's name for it is "partial 16S ribosomal RNA". It matches the Rfam family "Bacterial small subunit ribosomal RNA", at positions 524 to 776 of the family's 1533-position model. The record is from RNAcentral.